AUUGAACGCUGGCGGCAGGCCUAACACAUGCCAGUCGAGCGGAUGAAGGGAGCUUGCUCCUGGAUUCAGCGGCGGACGGGUGAGUAAUGCCUAGGAAUCUGCCUGGUAGUGGGGGAUAACGUCCGGAAACGGGCGCUAAUACCGCAUACGUCCUGAGGGAGAAAGUGGGGGAUCUUCGGACCUCACGCUAUCAGAUGAGCCUAGGUCGGAUUAGCUAGUUGGUGGGGUAAAGGCCUACCAAGGCGACGAUCCGUAACUGGUCUGAGAGGAUGAUCAGUCACACUGGAACUGAGACACGGUCCAGACUCCUACGGGAGGCAGCAGUGGGGAAUAUUGGACAAUGGGCGAAAGCAUGAUCCAACCAUGCCGCGUGUGUGAAGAAGGUCUUCGGAUUGUAAAGCCCUUUAAGUUGGGAGGAAGGGCAGUAAGUUAAUACCUUGCUGUUUUGACGUUACCAGCAGAAUAAGCACCGGCUAACUUCGUG
RNAcentral lists this ribosomal RNA (484 nucleotides) under uncultured bacterium. Its description in RNAcentral is "partial 16S ribosomal RNA". It matches the Rfam family "Bacterial small subunit ribosomal RNA", at positions 30 to 507 of the family's 1533-position model. The record is from RNAcentral.